CCUACGGGUGGCUGCAGUGGGGAAUAUUGGACAAUGGGCGAAAGCCUGAUCCAGCCAUGCCGCGUGUGUGAAGAAGGCCUUCGGGUUGUAAAGCACUUUCAGUGGGGAAGAAAGCCUUGGGGCUAAUACCCUCGAGGAAGGACAUCACCUACAGAAGAAGCACCGGCUAACUCCGUGCCAGCAGCCGCGGUAAUACGGAGGGUGCGAGCGUUAAUCGGAAUUACUGGGCGUAAAGCGCGCGUAGGCGGUCUGAUAAGCCGGUUGUGAAAGCCCCGGGCUCAACCUGGGAACGGCAUCCGGAACUGUCAGGCUAGAGUGCAGGAGAGGAAGGUAGAAUUCCCGGUGUAGCAGUGAAAUGCGUAGAGAUCGGGAGGAAUACCAGUGGCGAAGGCGGCCUUCUGGACUGACACUGACGCUGAGGUGCGAAAGCGUGGGUAGCAAACAGGAUUAGAUACCCGAGUAGUC
Molecule: ribosomal RNA, 465 nt
Filed under: Vreelandella stevensii
Lineage: Bacteria; Pseudomonadati; Pseudomonadota; Gammaproteobacteria; Oceanospirillales; Halomonadaceae
Description: partial 16S ribosomal RNA
Rfam family: Bacterial small subunit ribosomal RNA
Source: RNAcentral